Molecule: long non-coding RNA, 590 nt
Organism: Galleria mellonella (greater wax moth)
Lineage: Eukaryota; Metazoa; Arthropoda; Insecta; Lepidoptera; Pyralidae
Exons: 3
Source: RefSeq, a predicted model, not a curated record
GCGCUGUCACCUGUAUUCCCACAUAAUUUGUUUUGAGGCGAAAAAAAUGUUUACGGAGUAAAAGUAGACGUGUAGCGCUGGCAAGAAAAUAUUCAAUCAAGUUUAUAGCUUCAAUUCUUCUCGGCUCAGUACCAAGCGGUGUUUUAUCUCGACCAACGGCUUCAAGGCUCAUUUGAGCGGCUGUAAUGGGCUUGGAUACGUUCGAUGUUGGUGGAGAUGGACGAGUAUUUUAUGGCCUAUAAUAUCUCAUGUCGGGACGCGACAUGAUUCUAUCCAACUAUAACGGACAAGCCUCCGGCACUACGAAAUGAAUUAUGGGACAAUACCAACUGUAGGUAGUGUGGACUAUCCUUAUUAUUAUCCUAGAUUAUUAUGUAUAUGUCAUUAGAUGGGAUGUAAAUAAUAUGAGCACUAAAUGUUGUUAAAGCAGGAUUGUUGCUGUUAUAUUUGUAGAUUGUACCUGUAUAGAGACUUCAAAAAACCAAAAUUUCUGAUAUAUGAAAACUAUGAUGGUGAUCCUGCCUGCAUACGUUUACGUUGGCAGCGUGCCGGUGAAGGAUGAUGGGUGAGAAUAAAAUCAGGUCAGUUUU